This is a long non-coding RNA of Taeniopygia guttata (zebra finch), 3447 nucleotides long. The record is from Ensembl. NCBI's taxonomy places the organism in Eukaryota, Metazoa, Chordata, Aves, Passeriformes, Estrildidae.
GGGAUUAUUAAGCACUAAUGAAGAUUCUACACUUACAGACAGCUCAAAGAGCUUGGCAACGCACUCGAGGGAGUGAACCCAAACUGAUUCCAGAAGGGAAAUGGGAAAGGAGAAAGUAAAUGAGGCUGCCUCAUCUUCCAGGAGCUCCUUUUAGUGCUUCAGUAGAUGGCUGAUCAACAGUGGCCUCAAAUUCAGGCCCACUGUCAUCACCUGUAGCUCCAUUCUGCCAGUGCAGUCUACAGCACAGUUAAGCGGGGAGAUGGAUGGCGACUCACUCUGCAUGGAGCAGCGGGACAUGAGAGCCUUGGCACCUGGAGCCAUCUCUCAUCCCCAAAACCAAAUGAUGUGGGAGAGGAAGGAGGAUGAAAAAGAUAUUAGGCAGGCUGCAUCUCAAGAGAAGAAAACUCCCUUUAAUCCCCUUCUCAGUAAAUAAAUAUCCAUUUGAGAUCCAGCACAGGAAGAUGAAGAGGAUAUGAGAGUAAGAACCACACAAUCAGAAGAAAAGCACACAUUCUCAAGAGCACCAUCAGAGCACUGGCCCUCUGCAUUCCCAUCCUGAGUUUUGAUACCAACCAUGCUGGUACACCUGAUUCCUUUCCAGAGGAAACUGCUCUGCUGUGUUCCUGGUUUAUAUGUUGGAGCAGUGAGGUCAGGACCUACCUUUCAUGCAAGGACCAAGGAAUCAGAACCAAGACCAUCGCUGCGGAUGCAAAGACCUGGUGAGCUACCCCUUCUGUGUCCAAUGGAGAGAGGCUGGAAAACUGCUAAAAAAGGGAAAGAACUGGCCAAUGCCCUGUUGUUGUGAAGGAGUCAAGUAGCAGACAGAGACACAAAACAGAACUUGCAGCACCUUGACUUCUGGGACUGAACGCAAUGUCAGCUCAGGUGAGCCCAAAAUCACCCCACUAACCCCCUUUCUCAGGCUACAGAGGAAAGCCACCGCUGGUACCUUGGAUCUCCAUGGGAACCAUCAGAGAGAGGGGAAAUAAAAGAGGAGAGAAGAGAACAGACCAGAAUGAGCAGCAGGGAAUGAGGAGAGGGCGGUGGUGGGGUGAGGGGCAUGUGGAAACCAUCCAUGCACCAAGGUGUCCUGCAGCGAGCAAUAACAGGCUUACUGCAAAGCCUGCUGUACUGGGGAGGAAAACUGAGCAAUGCAUGGAGCCUGUGGUGGGGGAAUGGUGUGUUUCCUCACAGAAGAUUAACCCGGCAGCAAUACUGGCAGAGGGAGCUUAUGAGGAAAAGCAAAAGCAGGCAAGAAAAGCUCGCUCUUCCCAUACAUUUUGUGGGGAGAUGGUGGUGAGCAAAGCAGGGAGACAAAGGAUGCUUCUCUAUACCCAUCCUCCUCUUCCCCUCCAGUCCUAGAGGAACCUGGAUUAGGAAAAUACUUUCCACAGUGUCACCUCCUCCUCUUUUUCUCCAGCCAUGGCUUGGUGAUCUUCAGGCAUUGAUGGCUGUCACCCAGGCUAGUGCGAGAAACCUGGGGUGCCAGUGCCUCCUCUUACAGUACCAAGGAGUUCAUCCCCUUGUUGGAUAGCAAAGCAGCUGCCAUAGGGCAGAAGGAUGGGAGCUCAUGGUGGUCCAGGAAAGGGCUGGCAGUGUGCUGGCCAUGCAAUGCUUCACAGGCAAGUGCCUUUCUCCUGUUCCAUGACAGCACUACAUUCUUGCUGCCCAAAUACAAUGUGGGAUCACCUCCACAUUGACAAAGGGACGAGCUUGUGUUCUUCAUCAAGGGUAAGCCCCAUCUUCCAGAACACCUCCUUGCCUACCUGACAAUGGGAGUAACAUAGAGAUUUAGUCUUGGUCUCUGCCUCUGCCCGUCUCUGAGUUAUCUUCCCCCCCAUUCCUGGCUGCUCCUUUUUAGGUCAAGGAAUGAAAUUCAAGGCGGAAUUAGACAGAGAAGUGGUGGUACUGCCAUUCUCUGCCCUGAUGCCUUUGGAGGAGGCAUUUUUUUAGAAAUAGUGCAAUCUUCCCAAGUGGGUGCUCCCCUCCUGGAAGCUCAGCUCUCUGCCUGCACAGGCUUUGCUGCAGCUCACACACCAAUAGUGCUGCUUAGCUCAUCUUGGGGAUACCAUUAACUUUUUUAUUGGAGAUGGUGGGAGAGGGCUGACAGCUGCAGGCCCCUUUCUUACCUGUACACAGAGAACUCCACACUCAAAGGUGUUUCUCCUGUGUGGUUGGGGCUUCACCAUCACACCUGACCACAGAAAAGUGGGAGCAGUUCCUGGGGCUCCCCUGCAAGGGGUAUUUGCACAAGACCACACAAAGCAAUUGCAGAGCUUCCUCAUCCCAGCCCAAACAGCUGCAUCUCCACAGAUACUCCCUCCCUAUCUGACUGCGGCAGGACAUGAUGAUGAAGUUGACUUCAUAGAGUGUCACUACAAACCUGGCAAACUGGUUGAGGUUUCAGCCAUAUUUCUCAGACAUUAGACAUUUUUCAACCAGAAGAUUCCUGACAGUCUGGCAUUUUUUUAAUGUACGGUCUGUAGUGAUUUUGACAGGAAAAUUCCCUCCAUACCCUCUUACUUUCACACAGCCCAAUGUGCUGUGUCAUCCUGCUGUCACAUUGUCCUGAUUCUGGCAUUUUAAAGCAAGACCACUGAGGGAUUUAGCAUACGAGGCACAACCGAUGCCACGCAGGACCUGGAGCUCGUUGUCUCCUUUGCAAAAGGCAGAGAAGGAAGUCACUGUCCGGUCAUUUUGGCUGCUCUCUGCCAUGGCCUGCUAUGCAAUGCAGCCCACUUCAGCUGACAGACUUCUAGAAAGAAUCAGAAAAGUCAAAAUUACCUUCUGCUCCACAGCAGGUCUACCAGUGAUUUGUUUUUCUCUAAGCGAGGCAGCUGCAGGAUACACUGUUCUCUGCAGUUUUAACUGUCAUUCUCUCCUGAUUUUAUUUUCAAAUCCACAGUUCAAAUGCAUUCUCCAUUUAUAGGAAGGGCAAAUGGCACUGAUAUGGUCUUUUCUCCCCUGUGCACCUAUCUUCCCCACAGGAUACUUAGAAAUGUGCCCAUUCCUUCUUCCUCCCCAAGAAGCUCUCUGUAUUUUGCAAAAAGGAGAAGCUGUAGUCAAAAAUGAUUUUUGCUUGAGGAAAAAAGGCAGUGGGAAUAAAUGCACUUUCUCCCACAUUUAGCAGAGGUGGAGAGGCUGAACAGUAAAAGCUAGGACAGAGUGAGACCAGCCGGAGCAAGCAAACAUUCCCUGGGGAAAUGGGGCACUUUGUGCCCUUGGAUAAAAGAGAUCUCUUGUACCUUCACCUGGUGCUGCCUGUGCCACACAGCUUCUCUCUGAGCACACUCGCUGAAGCUUUUCCUUGUCUCUCCAAACACAAGCCUUAAUGCACUACAGAAAACAGAGCUGCUGGCAGCCCUGUGCUGCAGCAGCCAUGGCCCAUCACCUUUGCGGCAGGGGAAGUGGCAGCAGGGCCACUGCAACCAGCAGCAGCUGAAAAAG